This 517-nucleotide ribosomal RNA is filed under the name Harveylithon munitum. RNAcentral's name for it is "partial 28S ribosomal RNA". It matches the Rfam family "Eukaryotic large subunit ribosomal RNA", at positions 1242 to 1778 of the family's 3401-position model. The record is from RNAcentral. Lineage: Eukaryota; Rhodophyta; Florideophyceae; Corallinales; Porolithaceae.
AGGACGGGGUCCAUGAAGUCGGAAUCCGCUAAGGAGUGUGUAACAACUCACCUGCCGAAUGAACUAGCCCUGAAAAUGGAUGACGCUUAAGCGGGUUGCCGACACCAGACCGUUUCGAUAAGAAGCGAUCGAAAUGAGUAGGAGGGCGUGGCGGUUUUGUUGUGAAGGAUGAGACGCAAGUCUAUCUGAAACGGCCGCUAGUGCAGAUCUUGGUGGUAGUAGCAAAUAUUCAAGCGAGAUCCUUGAAGGGCGAAGCGGGGAAGGGUUCCACGCGAACAUUGAUUGGGCGUGGGUGAGUCGUUCCUAAGCCGGGUGGUAAUCGUUCUUCMGAUCGGCGAAAGGGAAGCGGGUUAAAAUUCUCGCACACGGAUGUGGAGGCGGUGACGCAAAUUGAGGUGGAGACGUYAGCGGUGGCACUGGGCAGAGUUUUYUUUUCUGUUUAACCUGUGAGUGCACUCUGUGGAAUCCRAUUAUCGGGCGAAANCAGGUGCUUAUGGGAAGAGCGUCGGGGCGUCCC